Molecule: unclassified non-coding RNA, 1794 nt
Filed under: Eufriesea mexicana
Lineage: Eukaryota; Metazoa; Arthropoda; Insecta; Hymenoptera; Apidae
Description: dET1 homolog, transcript variant X1
Source: RNAcentral
GUUAAUAAUGUAAAAUCAAUUUAAACUUCAAAAUUACAUAAACAUAAUCGAACGAAACAUGAAACAUAACCAAGAAAAAAUGAGUGCUUGAAAUCUGUUAGUAUUACGAGAGAGAAGAAAGCAUUUUAUGUUGUACAGUCUACACGUACGUACAUAUUAAGUGAAAUGAAUAUUUUGAUACAUGUUUCAAAUAUUCGCAAGGGAUGGCUGAAAAGGAGGCAAAGAUUGAAUACGUGACAGAACCUUGCCCUAUUAAGCCUCGUAAAAUAGGUCCACAGAAUAUAAUUCUACGCUUAAAACGGCGAGAAACAUUUGGUUGUCCUUAUCCAGGAACGCAUGUGCAUAGUGCCAGACAAUUUUAUCAAAAUGUAUUUCCUAAUUUUACUGUUAUGAAUGUUGAAAAACCUCCAUGCUUUCUCAGAAAAUUUAGUCCUGAUGGUCGUUACUUAAUAGCAUUUAGUGCUGAUCAAACCUCUAUAGAAGUUUAUGAAUAUCGUGGUGCAUCAGCAGCUGCUGAUUUAUUAGCAAGUUGUGAAGGCGAAUAUGUUGGUCAUGAGAAUGAUAAAUGUACUUUUCAAAUUAGAAAAAACAUUUUUAGUCGAUUUUUUAAGGCUAAAUGGAUUGUUAAUGUGGUUCAAAGCAAUGAACAAUUAAAUAGAGAAUGUAGUUUAUUUACAGACGAUGGCAGAUAUGUAAUUGUUGGUUCAGCUGCCCAUAUACCAGAUGAAUUAAGACCACACUUUUAUCAGAUUUAUUCUAACAAUGAAGCGCUGACUCCAAACCCUAGGUCACCGCUUGAAGAUUAUAGUUUACAUCUUGUUGAUUUACAUGGAGGAAAAUUAUGUGAUACUAGACAUUUUAAAGUAGAUAAAAUAUAUUUGUCUCACAAUCAGGGUCUCUAUCUCUAUAAAGAUAUAUUAGCAGUUUUAUCAGUACAGCAUCAGACCAUUCAUAUAUUUCAAAUUCUCGAUGGAAUGUUUAUCAAUGUUAGAACAAUAGGAAGGUUUUGUUUAGAGGAUGAUGCUUAUUUAGUUAGAAGUGCAUGUCCAGGUGUGAACUGUCGUCCAUUUAGAGACGUAACAAUAAACUGUCUUAAACAUAAGUUAUUGGUUUAUUUGUACAAAAGAGCGACGUAUAUUAGCGAUACAACGAGAGAUCCAUAUGAAUUAAGGCGUUUUUAUCAAUACUUUGACCAAUUAAAUGCAUUACGAAUGUGGAAAAUGCAAUUAUUAGAUACAAAUCAUAUUCUUGUAAGAUUUGCAAGUGAAGAAGUGGCGACACUUCAAGCAAAUGAACCCAAUGUGCAACCCGCACUUUUGGUGGUUUACGAUAUGGUUACUGCUAAAAUAUUAGCUGCAUAUGAUAAUACAUCUACACAAUUAUUAACACAAUUUGAAAACUUCAGCGAUUUUUUCAGGAAUGCGAGAAUGAGUGGCGAUUGUCAAUAUAUGUGUUCUCCAUCUAACAAUAUACAUGCGAGGAUUAGAGUUACUACGCUCUUUAACAAGGAAAGCUUGAAGUUCACUACAGUAAAAAUCAUAAAGAUGUAAACCUAUUCUUACGAAUAUGUUAAAACAGAAGAAACAAUUUAUUUUCGAAAUACAGGAUAAUAAAGACAGAUGCAAUCAAACUAUAGACGAUACAGCUCCACAAAAUAGGACAUUUCGGUUUCCAUCCGAUUAUCUUUUGGGAAAUAUAUUUCUGAAAGUUUAAAUAAAAUCCUUCCUGCAAGGUCAAAAUAACAAAGCAUUGUACAAUGGUGAAUUCUCUUUUCACUUUUCCUUGUUGUCCCCC